UAAACCCUGGGGAGUUCGUGAUUGUUUUUGAGUUCUUGAGCCAAUAUGCAUCAAAUGGGAUCCGCCAGCGCCCUCCCGUGUGCAUACCCGCCUCUUGAGCGGGCAGCCUGACGGAGGGACGGAGGAGCCCCCCUCGUUAAACGAGGUUCAAAACUCCAAGAGCAACACGGCGCCCCGGGGCUAAU
RNAcentral lists this non-coding RNA (185 nucleotides) under Desulfovibrio sp. RNAcentral's name for it is "6S RNA". It matches the Rfam family "6S / SsrS RNA". From Rfam's summary of the family: E. coli 6S RNA was the first non coding RNA to be sequenced, but its function was unknown until recently. The record is from RNAcentral. Lineage: Bacteria; Pseudomonadati; Thermodesulfobacteriota; Desulfovibrionia; Desulfovibrionales; Desulfovibrionaceae.